Non-coding RNA from Triticum aestivum (bread wheat), 125 nucleotides. The record is from Rfam. NCBI's taxonomy places the organism in Eukaryota, Viridiplantae, Streptophyta, Magnoliopsida, Poales, Poaceae.
UAAGUACUCCCUCAGUCCGGAAAUACUUGUCGGAGAAAUGAAUGUAUCUAGAUGUAUUCUAGUUUUAGAUACAUUCAUUUUUAUCCAUUUCUCCGACAAGUAUUUCUAGACGGAGGGAGUAUAUG